Acetobacterium wieringae is the source of this 70-nucleotide non-coding RNA. Lineage: Bacteria; Bacillati; Bacillota; Clostridia; Eubacteriales; Eubacteriaceae. The record is from Rfam.
AAAUAAGAUUUAUCGUGAGAAAUCAGCCGAAGCCAUAGUACGGAGACAAUCUAGAAGUCGAAGGAAGGGC